This 157-nucleotide ribosomal RNA is filed under the name Mucor genevensis. RNAcentral describes it as "5.8S ribosomal RNA". It matches the Rfam family "5.8S ribosomal RNA". Rfam says of the family: 5.8S ribosomal RNA (5.8S rRNA) is a component of the large subunit of the eukaryotic ribosome. The record is from RNAcentral. Lineage: Eukaryota; Fungi; Mucoromycota; Mucoromycetes; Mucorales; Mucoraceae.
CAACUUUUAACAACGGAUCUCUUGGUUCUCGCAUCGAUGAAGAACGUAGCAAAGUGCGAUAACUAGUGUGAAUUGCAUAUUCAGUGAAUCAUCGAGUCUUUGAACGCAACUUGCGCUCUUUGGUAUUCCAAGGAGCACGCCUGUUUCAGUAUCAAAA